Molecule: long non-coding RNA, 702 nt
Organism: Dermacentor albipictus
Lineage: Eukaryota; Metazoa; Arthropoda; Arachnida; Ixodida; Ixodidae
Source: RefSeq, a predicted model, not a curated record
UACCAAUCAUCCUGCUGUUGCUAUGCCGACGCGCCUCGUAUGGUGUACGGGCGUCGGCAUCGCGAAGAAUUUCAGAAAUUGGACAUGCUAUGCGCUCAUCACUAACGUUACAGGCCGUCGUCGGCUCGCGUCACCUGCGUGAUGGUGAGCGCGGCCGUGCCGUCGCGCGAGAUGUUCCACUGGCGACGGCUGCCGGCAGCGCCCGAGCCCAGAUCGAGAACCACGGGGUGGCCAUUGCGCAUCCACUGCACGCUUCCACCGGGAGUCUCGAGGAAGCACGGGAUGCUGAGGCUCUCGCCGGGGUUCACCACCUGCAGCCACCGCGAGGCCAGAAGAGUGCACGUUGGACAUCAACGUAUUUACAUGAGACCCGUGGCGUAGUGCUCCCAGGGACCUUUGAAAAGCUGUGUUGAAGCCGCAGACAGCAGAAAGUCGUCGGUCGGAACAAAGAGAGUGCCGCAAGUUGGUCUACAGUGCCUGAUGGUGUCAGUAGCGUCAUAUUCUAUAGUUUGACUGUACUCACGAUAAACUUAACCUAGAGGGCCAUUGCAGCAGCUUCAACGGAACGAGUAACCAAUUAAUUGGUUGAAACACGCCUACGGCCCUGAUCGACUUUCUGACUGACUGAAUAAACUUUAUUGAAACCAGCAAGAGAUGGUGGCUGGGCCUAGGCCUCCCACGUGAUCAACUUUCUGUGAAAUA